This is a long non-coding RNA of Anser brachyrhynchus (Pink-footed goose), 1585 nucleotides long. Lineage: Eukaryota; Metazoa; Chordata; Aves; Anseriformes; Anatidae. The record is from Ensembl.
GGCUUUUUCGCUGCUUGAGCCUGUUGCUGGCUCAUGAUCAGCUGGUCCUGGACCGCAGUCCUUUCCUGCAAAGCUUUUACUUGGUAUAUCAGCUUUCUUUUUUUAACUGGGUACAUCCUACCUGCUUUAUGCCAAUUGUUUUUGAACUGAUAAUCUAAUAUAUCUCCAUUAACCUGAAUUUCUUAUUAAACUCCCAGUAGUUUUUUAAUUUGGACUUUUUUUUUUUUUUCAGAGCUGUUUACCUGUUCCAAUAAACAGCUACCAGUUUGCCAAAUAGCAUGUGUACUGGUUGACUAUGCACAUGGCUCUGAACUAGCCAGAGUGUGAAUGGCUAUAGUCCAGUGAAAUAAAACCCUUCUUUGAAGGAGCUUCUGUGAAGAGAGUUGGGCAUCAUGCUGGAAGAGGAAGAGAGGAAGGCAGGCACUAGUGACAUGGAGGGAGCUUGGCAAGGCUGGAAGGACUAUGUGCUGGGAGACACACCUGUUUCCAAGGAAGACGCUGAUGCAGCUUGAAAAACUUUCUAACAUAACCACAUGUUUUAUGCACAUACUAGCCUGUGAAAUAUUGCAGGUAGUUCACGUUUGAGCAUGGUCUCAGAACAAGUGACAAACUGAGCCUGAAACACAUAGGAUUGUUAUGUGCAACUCUUCCUGAUCAGGCUGUCAGGUACAGGCAUCAUAUCUUUACUGUUUGGUUGGUAGUUUUGAUACAGCUGAUGAGUUUGUUCCAUGUAUGAGGUUUUGGUGAGAAAACAGAAGAAUGUGGGAGCAGUAGGAAAUUUGAAGAAGGAACAUACAAAGUAGCAAAAGGGGUGCAUGUGUUACAGGCUAAGAUUACAGGACAGUUGAGAUUGGAAGGGAAUCUGUUUAAACUCUGGUCCAACCCACUGUUCAGAAGAGGUUUACCUUUGAUGUUGGAUUCUAUUGUAUCCAGAAUACCCGUUUGGGUUGGGAAACAACAGUGAACUUCAAAGCUUUGUUCUCUAAUUCACCUGGUAGUGACGAUGCUGGGGCUUCAUAAGCUAUCUUCAGAAUAGUUCCCUUUAAAAACAAGGUAAAGCAUCACAUAAAUUCAGUCGAAAGCUCUAAUGGAGAUUCUCAGUUCCUUGCUUGUUAGCUAUCAGUAUGUUUACUUUUAAAAGCUUUCAAAGGUUCUAGUAGAUUUAAAGAUCUGUUUCUAGCCUGCCAUUUUAUUGUGUUUACAAGCUUCCCAAAGCUUAGAUGCAUGACAUCAUACUCAUGGUCAGGGUUAGCAUCUCAUCAUGUACAAUUUGAAUUGUUUGACAUGCCAUAAUGUAUAUAAUCAAUGGCCAGAUAGGACUCUUUCCAGAAAAGAAUUUCAGUGUUAAUAAUACGAAUUUGAGGAAUUAGAAAUUGAGUGAGUGGGUUGAGAGAAUUAUACAUGACAUUUGAGAGGUUGGAGAAAAACAAUGCUAAAAAAGCACUGUUUUUCUGUAGAAAGCUAGAAGAUGGUUUACGAUGGUUUGAAUGAAUUGAGAAAGACUUUUGCAUUUAGUUUUGAACCUUCCACAGCUGCUAAUUCUGAUUGUGUUGUGACAGUGCUUUCAUCAUUACUUUACUAAGUU